This 74-nucleotide transfer RNA is filed under the name Podarcis lilfordi (Lilford's wall lizard). RNAcentral's name for it is "tRNA.Lys". The stretch from base 9 to 66 matches the Rfam family "tRNA", at positions 8 to 63 of the family's 71-position model. From Rfam's summary of the family: Transfer RNA (tRNA) molecules are approximately 80 nucleotides in length. Lineage: Eukaryota; Metazoa; Chordata; Lepidosauria; Squamata; Lacertidae. The record is from RNAcentral.
GCCUGGGAUAGCUCAGUUGGUAGAGCACAAGACUCUUAAUUGCAGGGUUGUGGGUUCAAAUCCCAUGCUGGGCA